Saccostrea cuccullata (small rock oyster) is the source of this 405-nucleotide long non-coding RNA. RefSeq lists it as uncharacterized. The record is from RefSeq and is a predicted model, not a curated record. NCBI's taxonomy places the organism in Eukaryota, Metazoa, Mollusca, Bivalvia, Ostreida, Ostreidae. The transcript has 3 exons.
GACGAUUUGUCCAAAAAAGUGUCUAAAAAAGUUGCCUUCACGGACGCACCGUGUUUUGUUGUUUCAGUUUUACAUUCGGAACUCUAAAUUCUCGAGAGUUCCGAAAAUCAACUUCCGUUGAUCCUGAUCAUAACAACGUUUGUUUUCAUGGGAAAAAAAUAUGGCGACUAAGAAACACUUAAUGUCAACAAGAUUUUCUGAUUGACAAGAGAAAAGGUCAAACAGGAACUUCAAAAGUGAACAUUGCAGAGAACACACCCAUCAGAAGAUGACACUCAGAAAUAGGACAAUUAAUGAAUAAAAUGGACAGAGGCAGAACUGAAGGAGAUGCAUGAAAUGAGGAAUAUUUCAAAGAUUGCCUGAGACUAACCACUGCUACUGGAUAAACAUAUGGCAAUAUAAAAG